AUCGGACUAACCGUCUAGGACGAGUUCGAAAAAGUAUGUUUUUCGAACAAUUGAAAAUAGCGAAAAAACUAAACCUUGCGAUUUUUGAAUUUUGGGGUUCAUUCGACUUGGCAUGAGCCAAGGAUUCAGAGGAAAAAAGAAUUUUAAUUUUGUGGCUUACGGUUCAAAAGUUAUUAGCAUAAAAAUAUUGAAAUUUUGGACAAGUGGUGGCGCUAGAGAGUUGGAGUUAGAGACUUCAAAUUUGCUAUAUUUAAUGCUGGGACUGUCCUCUAUCAGUGUGCAAAAUUAUACAACUUUCCCGCAAUCGGUUCUAUGGGCUGCCAUAGACUUGCGGCGGAAGAAGAAGAAGAAGAAGAAGAAGAAGAAGAAGAAGAAGAAGAAGAAGAAGAAGAAGAAGAAGAAGAAGAAUAACGCCAACGGAUACAAUAGGUGCCUACGCACCUUCGGUGCUUGGCCCCUAAUAACGCCAACGAUUUCAAUAGGUGCCUACGCACCUUCGGUGCUUGGCCCCUAAUAACGCCAACGGUUUCAAUAGGUGCCUACGCACCUUCGGUGCUUGGCCCCUAAUAAUAAUAACGCCAACGGAUACAAUAGGUGCCUACGCACCUUCGGUGCUUGGCCCCUAAAUAUAGCUGCAAGCAGCAAUUGCGGGGCCAAGCACUCCAGCUGCAAAUUGAGGAGCUAAACAUGGCAUGGAGCAUCAGACCAAAUGCAACAAUGAGAAAUUACAGCAAUUUUAGGAUGAUUGUAAUUGAAAUGGCGGAAAAAUCAUAAAUACAAGCACUAGUAUUAUGAUUAAAUGGUUUAUCACUUUUGACCAACAGGUAGCGCUGUAAUCAAAUCAUUUUGGUGUGUUCUGUGUGAGGUGACAAUGCCACACACAAAGUUUGGUGUCAGUAUGCCAAAGCAUUGCAGAGAUACAGGCUGAAGUGUCAUUUUGGCAUCAUGCCUGAAAUUCGUCGCUGUAGUAUGCGAAAACGGUUUUGUCUAUCAAUACAAAAUCCAUAACAUUUUGUCAGCACAGUCUGAAGAUCAUCUGAUUCAAUUUUGGUGAAAAUCGGACAAACGGUUGAUGAGGAGUUCGAAAAAGUAGGUUUUCAACAUAAAUCAAAAUGGCGGACAGGAAGUUCAGCGUACUGUGGCAUAUUUGGUAUCUAUGUUGUCGGCAUAAGCCAAGGAAUAUUUUGAGACCAGUUUCAUUGCA
Long non-coding RNA from Cyprinus carpio carpio, 1204 nucleotides. The record is from Ensembl. Lineage: Eukaryota; Metazoa; Chordata; Actinopteri; Cypriniformes; Cyprinidae.